RNAcentral lists this ribosomal RNA (479 nucleotides) under Enterobacteriaceae bacterium EF40. Its description in RNAcentral is "bacterial SSU rRNA". It matches the Rfam family "Bacterial small subunit ribosomal RNA", at positions 8 to 479 of the family's 1533-position model. The record is from RNAcentral. Lineage: Bacteria; Pseudomonadati; Pseudomonadota; Gammaproteobacteria; Enterobacterales; Enterobacteriaceae.
AGAGUUUGAUCCUGGCUCAGAUUGAACGCUGGCGGCAGGCCUAACACAUGCAAGUCGAGCGGUAGCACAGAGAGCUUGCUCUCGGGUGACGAGCGGCGGACGGGUGAGUAAUGUCUGGGAAACUGCCUGAUGGAGGGGGAUAACUACUGGAAACGGUAGCUAAUACCGCAUAACGUCGCAAGACCAAAGAGGGGGACCUUCGGGCCUCUUGCCAUCAGAUGUGCCCAGAUGGGAUUAGCUAGUAGGUGGGGUAACGGCUCACCUAGGCGACGAUCCCUAGCUGGUUUGAGAGGAUGACCAGCCACACUGGAACUGAGACACGGUCCAGACUCCUACGGGAGGCAGCAGUGGGGAAUAUUGCACAAUGGGCGCAAGCCUGAUGCAGCCAUGCCGCGUGUAUGAAGAAGGCCUUCGGGUUGUAAAGUACUUUCAGCGAGGAGGAAGGCAUUGUGGUUAAUAACCGCAGUGAUUGACGUACU